CCUACGGGUGGCAGCAGUGAGGAAUAUUGGUCAAUGGGCUUACGCCUGAACCAGCCAAGUCGCGUGAGGGAAGACUGCCCUAUGGGUUGUAAACCUCUUUUGUCAGGGAGCAACGCCGGCUACGUGUAGCCGGAAUGAGAGUACCUGAAGAAAAAGCAUCGGCCAACUCCGUGGCAGCAGCCGCGGUAAUACGGAGGAUGCGAGCGUUAUCCGGAUUUAUUGGGUUUAAAGGGUGCGUAGGCGGAAUGCCAAGUCAGCGGUAAAAUCGCGGGGCUCAACCUCGCUCCGCCGUUGAAACUGGCAGUCUUGAGUACAGUAGAGGUGGGCGGAAUUCGUGGUGUAGCGGUGAAAUGCUUAGAUAUCACGAAGAACUCCGAUUGCGAAGGCAGCUCACUGGACUGCAACUGACACUGAGGCUCGAAAGUGUGGGUAUCAAACAGGAUUAGAUACCCCUGUAGUC
This 460-nucleotide ribosomal RNA is filed under the name uncultured bacterium. RNAcentral describes it as "partial 16S ribosomal RNA". It matches the Rfam family "Bacterial small subunit ribosomal RNA", at positions 338 to 795 of the family's 1533-position model. The record is from RNAcentral.